RNAcentral lists this transfer RNA (84 nucleotides) under Coprococcus phoceensis. RNAcentral's name for it is "tRNA-Ser". It matches the Rfam family "tRNA". From Rfam's summary of the family: Transfer RNA (tRNA) molecules are approximately 80 nucleotides in length. Their secondary structure includes four short double-helical elements and three loops (D, anti-codon, and T loops). Lineage: Bacteria; Bacillati; Bacillota; Clostridia; Lachnospirales; Lachnospiraceae. RNAcentral also lists the same sequence under 2 other names. The record is from RNAcentral.
GCCGUGUUGGCUCAAUUGGGACAGCACCUGACUUGAAAUCAGGCAUUCCGAAAGGAUAUCAGGGUUCGACUCCCUGGCACGGCG